This 160-nucleotide non-coding RNA is filed under the name Capsicum annuum. RNAcentral's name for it is "Eukaryotic large subunit ribosomal RNA". It matches the Rfam family "Eukaryotic large subunit ribosomal RNA", at positions 2825 to 2984 of the family's 3401-position model. The record is from Rfam by way of RNAcentral. Lineage: Eukaryota; Viridiplantae; Streptophyta; Magnoliopsida; Solanales; Solanaceae.
GAUAACUGAUUUGUGGCAGCCCAGAGUUUAUAGCGAUGUUGCUUUUUGAUCCUUCGAUGUCAGCUCUUCCCAUCAUUGUGAAGCAUAAUUCACCAAGUGUUGGAUUGUUCACCCACCAAUAGGGAACGUUAGCUGCGUUUAGACCGUCGUAAGACAGGUU